Long non-coding RNA from Canis lupus familiaris (dog), 459 nucleotides. RefSeq lists it as uncharacterized. NCBI's taxonomy places the organism in Eukaryota, Metazoa, Chordata, Mammalia, Carnivora, Canidae. The record is from RefSeq and is a predicted model, not a curated record. The transcript has 5 exons.
UAAAGAUAAUGCCACCAGGAGGGCCCUCAGUUUAACAGUCCUCCCAACAGGCACACCUGCUAGCCACAGAGCACAAGCUGCUACAGGACCAAAGCUUGCAAAUGAAGUUGUUUUGGAAGAAUGAAGUCAACAUGCAGUGAGGGCCAGAAAGACAGAAGGGAAGACCCGGGGACAGUUGGCCAUGUCUAAGAUCCCAGUUCCAUUUGUUCCUGAGUUGAGCUGCUUCCCAAUCUUACUCAUAUGGUGGAUGGGCUACGUGGGAUGUGGGUUAAGAAAAUCAAACAGAGGUUCCAUUUUCACAUUAUUCUUCAGCGGGCGGUUUUAACUCUGUAGAAUCAGAUCUUUUCAGAAACCUAAUCCUAGCCUCAGAAGCAAUGCCCCAGGACAGGCAGAGGACAAAAAGUCAAUGGAUUUGGGAGCAAGUCAAGUUCUGCCGCUACAGGGCUACAGGACCUCAGG